GAAGAACGCUGGCGGCGUGCCUAAUACAUGCAAGUCGAGCGAACAGACGAGGAGCUUGCUCCUCUGACGUUAGCGGCGGACGGGUGAGUAACACGUGGAUAACCUACCUAUAAGACUGGGAUAACUUCGGGAAACCGGAGCUAAUACCGGAUAAUAUAUUGAACCGCAUGGUUCAAUAGUGAAAGACGGUUUUGCUGUCACUUAUAGAUGGAUCCGCGCCGCAUUAGCUAGUUGGUAAGGUAACGGCUUACCAAGGCAACGAUGCGUAGCCGACCUGAGAGGGUGAUCGGCCACACUGGAACUGAGACACGGUCCAGACUCCUACGGGAGGCAGCAGUAGGGAAUCUUCCGCAAAGGGCGAAAGCCUGACGGAGCAACGCCGCGUGAGUGAUGAAGGUCUUCGGAUCGUAAAACUCUGUUAUUAGGGAAGAACAAAUGUGUAAGUAACUAUGCACGUCUUGACGGUACCUAAUCAGAAAGCCACGGCUAACUACGUG
RNAcentral lists this ribosomal RNA (497 nucleotides) under uncultured bacterium. RNAcentral's name for it is "partial 16S ribosomal RNA". It matches the Rfam family "Bacterial small subunit ribosomal RNA", at positions 28 to 507 of the family's 1533-position model. The record is from RNAcentral.